AAUAUUGGGCAAUGGGGGAAACCCUGACCCAGCAACGCCGCGUGAAGGAAGAAGGUCNNNGGAUUNUAAACUUUUGUCUUUGGNGACNAACAGAUGACGGUACCCACAGAAGAAGCCCCGGCCAACUACGUGCCAGCAGCCGCGGUAACACGUAGGGGGCAAGCGUUGUCCGGAUUUAUUGGGCGUAAAGAGCUCGUAGGUGGCUCAGUAAGUCGGGUGUGAAACCUCCAGGCUCAACCUGGAGACGCCACCCGAUACUGCUGUGGCUAGAGUCCAGUAGGGGAGCGUGGAAUUCCUGGUGUAGCGGUGAAAUGCGCAGAUAUCAGGAGGAACACCAGUGGCGAAGGCGGCGCUCUGGGCUGGAACUGACACUGAGGAGCGAAAGCGUGGGGAGCAAACAGG
This 402-nucleotide ribosomal RNA is filed under the name uncultured bacterium. RNAcentral describes it as "partial 16S ribosomal RNA". It matches the Rfam family "Bacterial small subunit ribosomal RNA", at positions 360 to 776 of the family's 1533-position model. The record is from RNAcentral.